Molecule: ribosomal RNA, 253 nt
Filed under: uncultured bacterium
Lineage: Bacteria
Description: partial 16S ribosomal RNA
Rfam family: Bacterial small subunit ribosomal RNA
Source: RNAcentral
UACGGGGGGGGCAAGCGUUGUUCGGAAUUACUGGGCGUAAAGGGCUCGUAGGCGGCCAACUAAGUCGGACGUGAAAGCCCCGGGCUCAACCUGGGAACAGCGCUUGAGACUGGCACGCUCGAGUUCGGGAGAGGAUGGUGGAAUUCCCAGUGUAGAGGUGAAAUUCGUAGAUAUUAGGAAGAACACCAGUGGCGAAGGCGGCUCACUGGCCCGGUACUGACGCUGAGGCGCGAAAGCGUGGGGAGCAAACAGG